GGGUCGUUAGCUCCGUUGGUAGAGCAGUUUACUUUUAAUCAAUUGGUCGCAGGUUCGAAUCCUGCACGACCCACCA
RNAcentral lists this transfer RNA (76 nucleotides) under Salmonella enterica. Its description in RNAcentral is "tRNA-Lys". It matches the Rfam family "tRNA". From Rfam's summary of the family: Transfer RNA (tRNA) molecules are approximately 80 nucleotides in length. Their secondary structure includes four short double-helical elements and three loops (D, anti-codon, and T loops). Lineage: Bacteria; Pseudomonadati; Pseudomonadota; Gammaproteobacteria; Enterobacterales; Enterobacteriaceae. The record is from RNAcentral.